RNAcentral lists this unclassified non-coding RNA (260 nucleotides) under air metagenome. Its description in RNAcentral is "partial contains small subunit ribosomal RNA, internal transcribed spacer 1, and 5.8S ribosomal RNA". The stretch from base 1 to 46 matches the Rfam family "Eukaryotic small subunit ribosomal RNA", at positions 1786 to 1831 of the family's 1831-position model. The record is from RNAcentral.
AAGUCGUAACAAGGUUUCCGUAGGUGAACCUGCGGAAGGAUCAUUAUCGAGUUAGGGUCCUCUGGGCCCCAUCUCCAACCCUUUGUUUAUCAAACCUUUUGUUGCUUUGGCAGGCCCGUCCUUCGGGACCGCCGGAGGCUUUUGUCGCCUCUGGUCCGUGCCUGCCAGUAGCCCAAUCAAAUUCUUUCUAAACCAUGAAGUCUGAAUGUUUAAAAUCAAAAAUUAAACUAAAACUUUCAACAACGGAUCUCUUGGUUCUG